Molecule: ribosomal RNA, 301 nt
Filed under: uncultured bacterium
Lineage: Bacteria
Description: partial 16S ribosomal RNA
Rfam family: Bacterial small subunit ribosomal RNA
Source: RNAcentral
CAGCCGCCGCGGGAAUACGAAGGGGGCUAGCGUUGCUCGGAAUGACUGGGCGUAAAGGGCGCGUAGGCGGUCACGAUAGUCAGAUGUGAAAUUCCUGGGCUUAACCUGGGGACUGCAUUUGAUACUGUGUGGCUUGAGUGUGGAAGAGGGUCGUGGAAUUCCCAGUGUAGAGGUGAAAUUCGUAGAUAUUGGGAAGAACACCGGUGGCGAAGGCGGCGACCUGGUCCAUAACUGACGCUGAGGCGCGAAAGCGUGGGGAGCGAACAGGAUUAGAUACCCCAGUAGUCCCUGUCUCUUAUAC